GAUUUAUCGCCGUAGGAUGGGACUGCGGCCUAUCAGCUUGUUGGUGAGGUAAUGGCCCACCAAGGCGAUUACAGGUACGGGCUCUGAGAGGAGAAGCCCGGAGAUGGGUACUGAGACAAGGACCCAGGCCCUAUGGGGCGCAGCAGGCGAGAAAACUUUGCAAUGCGCGAAAGCUCGACAAGGUUAAUCUGAGUGGUUCCUGCUAAAGGAACCUUUUGUUAGUCGUAGAACCACUGAUGAAUAAGGGGUGGGCAAGUUCUGGUGUCAGCCGCCGCGGUAAAACCAGCACCUCAAGUGGUCAGGAUGAUUAUUGGGCCUAAAGCAUCCGUAGCCGGCUCUGUAAGUUUUCGGUUAAAUCCAUGUGCUCAACGCAUGGGCUGCCGAAAAUACUGCAUAGCUAGGGAGUGGGAGAGGUAGACGGUACUCGGUAGGAAGGGGUAAAAUCCUUUGAUCUAUCGAUGACCACCUGUGGCGAAGGCGGUCUACCAGAACACGUUCGACGGUGAGGGAUGAAAGCUGGGGGAGCAAACCGGAUUAGAUACCCGGGUAGUCCCAGCUGUAAACGAUGCAGACUAGAUGAUGCAUUGGCAUAAUAGCCAUUGCAGUGUCUCAGGGAAGCCGUUAAGUCUGCCGCCUGGGAAGUACGUACGCAAGUAUGAAACUUAAAGGAAUUGGCGGGGGAGCACCACAAGGGGUGAAGCCUGCGGUUCAAUUGGAGUCAACGCCAGAAAUCUUACCCGGAGAGACAGCAGAAUGAAGGUCAAGCUGAAGACUUUACCAGACAAGCUGAGAGGUGGUGCAUGGCCGUCGCCAGCUCGUGCCGUGAGAUGUCCUGUUAAGUCAGGUAACGAGCGAGAUCCCUGCCGCUAGUUGCUAUCAUUAUUCUCAGGAAUAGUGGGGCGAAUUAGUGGGACUGCCGUUGUUAAAACGGAGGAAGGAAGGGGCUACGGCAGGUCAGUAUGCCCCGAAACUCUGGGGCCACACGCGGGCUGCAAUGGUAGCGACAAUGAGUUCCAAACUCGAAAGAGAGUGGCAAUCCCUAAACGC
This 1047-nucleotide ribosomal RNA is filed under the name marine metagenome. RNAcentral describes it as "bacterial SSU rRNA". It matches the Rfam family "Archaeal small subunit ribosomal RNA", at positions 193 to 1239 of the family's 1478-position model. The record is from RNAcentral.